AAUAGUGAACAAAAGCAUACUCCUGUAUUGUGUUGUGGUGUCUCCAGGUCUACUAGCGAGGACAAGGUGGAGAUGAUCUGGCUGCAGAAACAGCUAGUUGAGAAGGGCAACACGUUCACUGUGCUCGAGGGCAGAUUCCUACAACUCCAAGAGGUGAAACACAACAGCACGUUACAGGAUACACUAGUUGAUUAGCAAUGCUCUAGCACACGGGCGGGCAAACUUUUGGAAAAUGUUUUGGUCUCCCCAGCACAUUGUAAUCAAUAGUCGUCGUGGAAACUUCAAAUAACUUGUUCUUUCGAAAGAACACAUACUAUUUAAACCCAGUCACCAUGGUAAUGACCCCUAUGUUGUGAUUGCAGAGUCAGUGGACCCUGAAGGCCAGUCAUGAAGCUGUGAUGGCCAAGAUGGACGAGCUCACGGGCCAUCUGAAAGACGAGCGACUGAGAAGUCUUGGCCUGGAGAGCCAACUACAAGGCCAACUCAUUCUCACAGAGGAGGACAGAGGAGCAAAUCCAUGACCUGGAGAAGGAGAGAGAGCUGCUAAAGGAGAACUGUGAUAAACUAAUGAACAGAAAUUCGGGACGUGAGAGCAGCAGCUGAAACUACAGAUAGCCCAGCUAGAGGUGGCACUGAAGUCUGACCUGACAGACCAAAACGAGAUUCUGGACAAGAUCACGGUUGAAAGAGGUAUCUGUUGAAAGAGGUAUCUGUCAACCAGGACCUUUGUGUCUUUAAAAUUGUUUCGUGUGAAUUCAGAUUUACAAACAUUUUUUAUUUUAUUAGGAGUCAAGAAAAUAAAGAGAUUCAGCUUUGGUUUCUGGAGCAAAAGCAGCAGUUGGAUGAAAUAAAGGAUCAGAUGAAGUUCUACACCAAGGUUCUCACUCCAAAUAAGAAUGAAUGAAUGUUUUUUGUGUGCAGAUAUGUACACCAUGUCAUUACUCUGCUGUGCAUACAUCUUGCUAGCUGUCACUCAUAUGGCGAGGGGCUGAAGCUCAUUGGUUGAACUCAAAUUGCUAGGGGGCUGACCCAGGUGGGGGAAAAUGUAUGGAAAAUGGCGCAGCAGAGCUUCCAGAAAAACAGUUGCUUUCAAACUACACAUUGAUACAUCCAGCCUAAAGCUGGAGGUUCAAUAAAUACAUAGUAGUCGCAAAAGGUUUUUUUUAGGAACAGUGGAUUAACUGCCUUGUUCAGGGGCAGAACGAG
This 1206-nucleotide long non-coding RNA is filed under the name Salmo salar (Atlantic salmon). RNAcentral's name for it is "lncRNA (ENSSSAG00000083708.1)". The record is from RNAcentral. Lineage: Eukaryota; Metazoa; Chordata; Actinopteri; Salmoniformes; Salmonidae.